UGAACUAGACGAUGGCAUUAUACAAACCUGUGCAUUGUUAUCAUUUGGUGUCACAGGAGGUAGUGCAGCAGUUGGUUGAUCCACAGAAUACUGUACCAUUUGCUGCUUGUCGAUUUCUGUUAACUCAUUUAAGGGUUGUUUCAAUGAAACAGUAGCUGAUAUCAGGCAAGUCUAGGCAGUAACAACUUUUGGUAAAAUUUCUGCAGCUGUAGCAGCAGGGAAAAUGCUUUGUUGCUGCUGCACAUUACACUUGAAAUGAUUUUCAUCACUUUCAUCUGAUUGAUCAGCCUGUGCAAAGGAGUCGAUACCAUCUGGAGUUGUCUCAUUCAUGGGCUGAACUAGAGAAGCAAUAUGCGAGGCCUCUAAAUUAUCAUCCACUACAACAGGUUUCGACAGUAGAUGUUGAUCUG
Molecule: long non-coding RNA, 410 nt
Filed under: Nicotiana benthamiana
Lineage: Eukaryota; Viridiplantae; Streptophyta; Magnoliopsida; Solanales; Solanaceae
Description: long non-coding RNA (NBEN_LNC012488)
Source: RNAcentral